RNAcentral lists this ribosomal RNA (758 nucleotides) under uncultured archaeon. Its description in RNAcentral is "bacterial SSU rRNA". It matches the Rfam family "Archaeal small subunit ribosomal RNA", at positions 102 to 859 of the family's 1478-position model. The record is from RNAcentral.
GGAUAACCUACCCUUAGGACCGGGAUAACCCUGGGAAACUGGGGAUAAUACUGGAUAGGCAAUUUUUCCUGCAAUGGUUCUUUGUUUAAAUGUUUUUUCGCCUAAGGAUGGGUCUGCGGCCGAUUAGGUAGUUGGUUAGGUAACGGCUUACCAAGCCAUUGAUCGGUACGGGUUGUGAGAGCAAGAGCCCGGAGAUGGAACCUGAGACAAGGUUCCAGGCCCUACGGGGUGCAGCAGGCGCGAAACCUCCGCAAUGUGAGAAAUCGCGACGGGGGGAUCCCAAGUGCCAUUCUUAACGGGAUGGCUUUUCAUUAGUGUAAAGAGCUUUUGGAAUAAGAGCUGGGCAAGACCGGUGCCAGCCGCCGCGGUAACACCGGCAGCUCUAGUGGUAGCAAUUUUUAUUGGGCCUAAAGCGUCCGUAGCCGGUUUAAUAAGUCUCUGGUGAAAUCCUGCAGCUUAACUGUGGGAAUUGCUGGAGAUACUAUUAGACUUGAGACCGGGAGAGGUUAGAGGUACUCCCAGGGUAGAGGUGAAAUUCUGUAAUCCUGGGAGGACCGCCUGUUGCGAAGGCGUCUAACUGGAACGGUUCUGACGGUGAGGGACGAAAGUUAGGGGCGCGAACCGGAUUAGAUACCCGGGUAGUCCUAACUGUAAACGAUGCGGACUUGGUGUUGGGGGUGGCUUUGAGCUGCUCCAGUGCCGAAGGGAAGCUGUUAAGUCCGCCGCCUGGGAAGUACGGUCGCAAGACUGAAACUUAA